CUUCGGGUUGUAAGCACUUUUAGAGAGGAUGAGGAAGGACAGUACUCUCAGAAUAAGUCUCGGCUAACUACGUGCCAGCAGCCGCGGUAAUAAU
This 94-nucleotide ribosomal RNA is filed under the name uncultured Alteromonas sp. RNAcentral describes it as "partial 16S ribosomal RNA". Lineage: Bacteria; Pseudomonadati; Pseudomonadota; Gammaproteobacteria; Alteromonadales; Alteromonadaceae. The record is from RNAcentral.